AGGCCGCUUCCUUUGUGGAUUGCGAAGCUGAGGUCCAGUGGAGGGCAGGGGCAGGUCCUGGAAGCUCCCGAGGCAAAGAGAGCUGAUCUCGGGGCUGGGGUCACAGGGCUCCACUCCUGUGAUCUCUAGGGUCCCAGAGCCGGGAGGAGAGACUGGGUGCCUUUCGUUCACCUCUGGGGGUGGGCAGAGGCUCAGCCUGUGCCACAAGGCAAAGCUGCUUCUGUGCAGUCCGAGCCGCGGCCCCUUUAAGAGGGGGUGGUGCUUCAGCCAAUCGCUAGGGACGCUGCCGGCGUGCGAGCCUCUACGGAAGCUGAGAGGGCGCCUCCGGCAGGGCCCCCGGCAGAAGCCAUGGCGUCGUUGAAGCAAGCGGAAGCCGUGGCGGUGUGGUCGGAGAGAGCAAAAGCGGCGGCCAGAGGUGGCGGCGCGGUCCCGUGGAGCAGAAGAGGAGUCGUGUCCCAGGGAACAGAAGCUGCAGCGUCCAGAAGUGGUGGCGCGGUCCCAGCGAGCUUCCGAGCAGCCGUGGUGGCUUCCACGUGAUGGGGGAGCAGGAGGCAGGUCUCCGUGGUUCAUCUCGGUUGCUCCACAUGACACUGUUUCAUCAUUUUGGUGUCCGAAGAAUAUUCCCUAGUGUAUGCAUACGAGAGUUUCUUGAUCCCUCUGUGGAUGGACAGGUAAGUGGAAUGUAUACCCAGUACUGGGAAUGCUAGAUAGUAU
This 714-nucleotide long non-coding RNA is filed under the name Callithrix jacchus (white-tufted-ear marmoset). RNAcentral describes it as "lncRNA (ENSCJAG00000064077.2)". The record is from RNAcentral. Lineage: Eukaryota; Metazoa; Chordata; Mammalia; Primates; Cebidae.